RNAcentral lists this ribosomal RNA (492 nucleotides) under uncultured bacterium. Its description in RNAcentral is "partial 16S ribosomal RNA". It matches the Rfam family "Bacterial small subunit ribosomal RNA", at positions 29 to 507 of the family's 1533-position model. The record is from RNAcentral.
AGUGAACGCUGGCGGUAGGCCUAACACAUGCAAGUCGAACGGCAGCACAGUAAGAGCUUGCUCUUACGGGUGGCGAGUGGCGGAUGGGUGAGGAAUACAUCGGAAUCUACUUUUUCGUGGGGGAUAACGUAGGGAAACUUACGCUAAUACCGCAUACGACCUACGGGUGAAAGCAGGGGAUCUUCGGACCUUGCGCGAUUGAAUGAGCCGAUGUCGGAUUAGCUAGUUGGCGGGGUAAAGGCCCACCAAGGCGACGAUCCGUAGCUGGUCUGAGAGGAUGAUCAGCCACACUGGAACUGAGACACGGUCCAGACUCCUACGGGAGGCAGCAGUGGGGAAUAUUGGACAAUGGGCGCAAGCCUGAUCCAGCCAUACCGCGUGGGUGAAGAAGGCCUUCGGGUUGUAAAGCCCUUUUGUUGGGAAAGAAGAGCAGCAGGUUAAUACCCCGCUGUUCUGACGGUACCCAAAGAAUAAGCACCGGCUAACUUCGUG